AUACGUAGGGGGCGAGCGUUGUCCGGAAUUACUGGGCGUAAAGGGCGCGUAGGCGGCAUGUUAAGUUGGAUGUGAAAUACCCGGGCUCAACCUGGGGGGUGCAUUCAAAACUGGCAAGCUAGAGUGCAGGAGAGGGAAGCGGAAUUCCUAGUGUAGCGGUGAAAUGCGUAGAUAUUAGGAGGAACACCAGUGGCGAAGGCGGCUUUCUGGACUGUAACUGACGCUGAUGCACGAAAGCGUGGGGAGC
This 247-nucleotide ribosomal RNA is filed under the name uncultured bacterium. Its description in RNAcentral is "partial 16S ribosomal RNA". It matches the Rfam family "Bacterial small subunit ribosomal RNA", at positions 523 to 769 of the family's 1533-position model. The record is from RNAcentral.